UACGGGGGGGGCAAGCGUUGUUCGGAAUUACUGGGCGUAAAGGGCUCGUAGGCGGCCAACUAAGUCAGACGUGAAAUCCCCAGGCUCAACCUGGGAACUGCGUCUGAUACUGGAUGGCUUGAAUCCGGGAGAGGGAUGCAGAAUUCCAGGUGUAGCGGUGAAAUGCGUAGAUAUCUGGAAGAACACCAGUGGCGAAAGCGCUCUACUGGGCCAUAACUGACACUGAGGGACGAAAGCUAGGGGAGCGAAAGGG
Molecule: ribosomal RNA, 253 nt
Filed under: uncultured bacterium
Lineage: Bacteria
Description: partial 16S ribosomal RNA
Rfam family: Bacterial small subunit ribosomal RNA
Source: RNAcentral